Molecule: RNA transcript, 1478 nt
Organism: Prunus dulcis (almond)
Lineage: Eukaryota; Viridiplantae; Streptophyta; Magnoliopsida; Rosales; Rosaceae
Exons: 3
Source: RefSeq, a predicted model, not a curated record
AUUAACCAGAAAUCAGCCGCUCUGUUUUUGGUCUCCGCGCCGCAGUUCAUUCCCAGCUUCUUCUACUUCUACUCUGGAGCUCUUUGCAACAAGAGUAACAUUCCAAAAUCAACUUACCUCAGGCCUCAGGUUUCAACUAGGGUUUUUCGAUUUUCCAAUAGAAAUUGAUUAUCAUCGACUUCUAAACAUGGCAUUGCUCUUCAAGUUGAAGAGCCUCAGAUUGGGUUAUUCAAUACUUUCUUCUACAUUUGCUUCAAAAACUAAAAGGUUUGUUGUUGGAGAUCGAAAACCCUCCAAUUUUUCUCUUCAAAUUCAGUUACUCUGCCGACACUUCACCUCAGAAAUCUCGGCAAACCAACACAAUUUCACAGUCACUUACCUCAUAAACUCAUGUGGGUUGUCUCCAAAAGCUGCAAUUUCAGCAUCCAAGAAGGUCGAGUUGCAAACCCCAGAAAGAGCAGACUCCGUCUUGGCCCUUGUGAGAAACCAUGGACUCUCUGAAGCCCAGCUCUCAAAGUUUGUCAGGUUACACCCAGAAGUUCUUUUAGCCGAUCCUGAGCAAACCCUUCUGCCAAAGCUUCGGUUUUUCAUCUCUCUCGGAAUUUCAAAGGAGGACCUUGCGAAAACUCUGGCUUUCUGUCCGCAGAUUUUGUCAAGAAGCUUGGAGAAAGAGAUUUUACCCGAUUAUAAUUUCCUUAGGAGCUUGAUUCCAGAGAACAAGGUUGUUUCUGUUUUGAAGGGCCGCUCGUGGUUUUUCUUCGAAGGCCACUCCAAAAAUGUGGUGCCAAAUAUUGAUCUUUUGAGACAACUAGGUAUGCCUCAAUCAUGCAUUAAUCUGUUGCUGGCUCAUUAUACUAAUGUUCUGUUGCUAAAGCACGAAAGGUUUGGUUUAGUUGUGGGUAAGGUCAAGGAAAUGGGAUUUAAUCUGGAAAAAGCCACUUCCGUGUCUGCUCUACGUGUAUUGUGUGGUAGGCACAAGUCAGUAUGGAAUCGAAGUUGGGAACUUUAUGGUAGAUGGGGUUGGUCUGAUGACGAUAUUCUGUCUGCUUUCAGGCGGUAUCCGCAGUGUAUGAUUCACUCGGAGAAGAAGGUAACGGAAGUAAUGGAUCUUUUAGUGAACAACAUGGGAUGGCCGUCAAGAAAGAUUGCCCAAUAUCCUGUGGUCCUAAGCUUGAGUUUAAAGAGGAGACUGAUCCCAAGGUGUUCGGUUGUUAAGGUUUUGUUUUUGAAAGGAGUUAUAGAUGAAAACUUGCAUUUGGGUUCUGUGUUGCGGCCUGUGGAGAAGCACUUCCUGGAGAAAUUUGUAACUGCAUAUCUCAAGGAAAUACCUCAAUUGUUGAAUGUGUAUCAAGGGAAUGCUGCAGUGUUUUGCUUGGAAAAUUGCUUUUGAUACGAUACACGUCUUGCUUCUGUUGGGGUCCAAUUUAAACUCCUCUGCAGACAAGCUACUUGAUAAAUGGUUGAGAAAAUAUGACAGC